This 473-nucleotide ribosomal RNA is filed under the name uncultured bacterium. Its description in RNAcentral is "SSU rRNA". It matches the Rfam family "Bacterial small subunit ribosomal RNA", at positions 26 to 518 of the family's 1533-position model. The record is from RNAcentral.
AGGACGAACGCUGGCGGCGUGCUUAACACAUGCAAGUCGAGCGGAAAGGCCCUUCGGGGUACUCGAGCGGCGAACGGGUGAGUAACACGUGAGCAACCUGCCCUUAGCUCCGGGAUAGCUCCGGGAAACCGGAAUUAAUACCGGAUAUGACCUAGGCCGACAUCGGCUGUGGUGGAAAGUUUUUCGGCUGGGGAUGGACUCGCGGCCUAUCAGCUUGUUGGUGGGGUAAUGGCCUACCAAGGCGACGACGGGUAGCCGGCCUGAGAGGGCGACCGGCCACACUGGGACUGAGACACGGCCCAGACUCCUACGGGAGGCAGCAGUGGGAAUCUUGCGCAAUGGGCGAAAGCCUGACGCAGCGACGCCGCGUGGGGGAUGAAGGCCUUCGGGUUGUAAACCCGUUUCAGCAGGGACGAAGCGAAAGUGACGGUACCUGCAGAAGAAGCGCCGGCUAACUACGUGCCAGCAGCCGC